GCUUUUGUUUCUUGUCGUUCCUUGCAGGAAGGAUUUUCGCUGAGUUUUUGUUGCUUGUUGCUUUGCUUUUUCAAAGUAAACUGAUGACGGGAACGAAAUGCGUCGCGUAUUUAUAGCAGCUCGGUGGUGGCUCUCGAUUACGCGCGCGCUGGUGCGUGCGAGAGAGAUAGCAGGUUUGGGCACGCCAAGGAAACUUCUGGCUCUGGGUAAAGUUGAAUAAUUUUGCCAAUGUUCUGGAAAGCGCUCGAAUGUGUGUAUGUACGUGAUGCUUCAUUAUCUAGCAACGAAAGUGAGAGUGUUUCGCUGAGAUAGCAACAGCAGCAGUUAAAGAGCGAGUAAAGUGAUAACAGAAAAAAUAAA
Drosophila navojoa is the source of this 360-nucleotide long non-coding RNA. The record is from RefSeq and is a predicted model, not a curated record. Lineage: Eukaryota; Metazoa; Arthropoda; Insecta; Diptera; Drosophilidae.